UAAAAAGCAAUGAAAAAGACGAGUAAAUAACCUAUUUCUUUUCAGUGAAUUAGCGUUAGUGCGAAGCUAAUAGACCCUGGGUUAUUGAACAACACUUUUAGCAGCUCACCGAACUAACAAUUCUUAUAGUAGGUUGAGACGUCUCCGGUACGUUACCACGCCGGUGGAGCAUGAUAGUGCUUCAUGAGUAGGUCUAGAUCUAGACAAUAUGGGUGGUACCGCGGAAAAGAGCCUUUCGUCCCUGGC
Molecule: non-coding RNA, 246 nt
Filed under: Lactobacillus kefiranofaciens
Lineage: Bacteria; Bacillati; Bacillota; Bacilli; Lactobacillales; Lactobacillaceae
Description: T-box sequence
Rfam family: T-box leader
About the family: Uncharged tRNA acts as the effector for transcription antitermination of genes in the T-box leader family. T-boxes are found upstream of many aminoacyl-tRNA synthetase genes and some amino acid biosynthetic genes usually in Gram-positive bacteria.
Source: RNAcentral